UGCAACCUGUCCCCGAACUUAUACUGCAUGAGGGAAAAAUUAGAAUAAAUAACCACAAAGAUUCACAGAUAAUUGUUUGGACUCCACACCAGUCAUUUCUAAAAUCUGCAGAAAUCAACCAAGCUCCCUAACAAGAAUGUGAAAACAUAACAUCUUAUAUAGUCACUUUAACAGAUAAAGACAGAGUUUAUAGUAAUGCUAGAGCUGUGCCUGUUAGCCUUUGCUAAAGGAACUGAAAUACUCAAUGUAUUCACCAGCAUGCAUGGCAUAAAUCUCUCGGCCUGAUCAUCAUUCUAGCACACCCAUCAGCCACAUAACCACCAUGCCUGAUAGAUACAACGACAGCCUUGUAUCUCGCAUUUAGAGACUUUGAGGGGCCCAUAAAAAUGGAGUGUCAAAUCACUUGAUUCCAAUUUCCAAAAAAUUAAAAACAAAAAAAGAAAACAAAAUUUUAAAAAUUACAAAAAAAAAGUUAAAAUUUAAAAAAAAAAUUGAACCCAGCACCCAAAUGACCAAAUGUGAAUUCCUAAAAGUUGACCAUUUGAGUAACUCAAACCAUUCUAAACCAAGCAACCGAAGCCUGCCUUAAAAAAAGUUGACACACGAUAACAACCAACCCAAACCCACCUGAUGACCUGAUUGCCACCUCUACAUACUUUCAACCAAUCAGCCCUACUUACCAAUUACCAUUGUCCAUAAACCUAAAAUACACCACCCCUCUAUUUCACCACUUGUAAGUUGUAAUAUCGCUCAAAACCCAUAAAUUACCAAUUGAAACAAACAAAAAUCUAAAAUACUUUAAGAUGUUCAAAUACACCUCCCUUAGAACUAAUUUCAUUCAGAAACUCUCAACUAUUAUCCAUAGAUAUUCAAAAGCACCCAAUUCAGAAAAUAUCUGUGCAAUUGUAUUCUCUACCUCGAAAUUCAUAGCCAAACAAUAACCCCAUGCCAAAGCAACAAGGCAAUACUUGAUCUAGGCUCAGUCCUUUAAGUAGAUGGGGGAUGUGAGGAGAAUGUUAGUCAUAGGAUUAAAGCCA
Molecule: unclassified non-coding RNA, 1037 nt
Filed under: Hevea brasiliensis (rubber tree)
Lineage: Eukaryota; Viridiplantae; Streptophyta; Magnoliopsida; Malpighiales; Euphorbiaceae
Source: RNAcentral